RNAcentral lists this ribosomal RNA (274 nucleotides) under uncultured bacterium. RNAcentral describes it as "partial 16S ribosomal RNA". It matches the Rfam family "Bacterial small subunit ribosomal RNA", at positions 523 to 796 of the family's 1533-position model. The record is from RNAcentral.
AUACGGAGGGUGCGAGCGUUAAUCGGAAUUACUGGGCGUAAAGGGUGCGUAGGCGGCUUGAUAAGUCGGAUGUGAAAGCCCCGGGCUUAACCUGGGAAUUGCAUUCGAUACUGUCAGGCUAGAGUAUGUCAGAGGUUGGCGGAAUUCCUGGUGUAGUGGUGAAAUGCGUAGAUAUCAGGAGGAACACCAGUGGCGAAGGCGGCUAACUGGGGCAAUACUGACGCUGAGGCACGAAAGCGUGGGGAGCAAACAGGAUUAGAAACCCCAGUAGUCC